Molecule: ribosomal RNA, 509 nt
Filed under: Cellulosimicrobium cellulans
Lineage: Bacteria; Bacillati; Actinomycetota; Actinomycetes; Micrococcales; Promicromonosporaceae
Description: bacterial SSU rRNA
Rfam family: Bacterial small subunit ribosomal RNA
Source: RNAcentral
GGCGUGCUUAACACAUGCAGUCGAACGGUGAUGCCCAGCUUGCUGGGUGGAUUAGUGGCGAACGGGUGAGUAACACGUGAGUAACCUGCCCUUGACUUCGGGAUAACUCCGGGAAACCGGGGCUAAUACCGGAUAUGAGCUACCUUCGCAUGGGGGUGGUUGGAAAGUUUUUCGGUCAAGGAUGGGCUCGCGGCCUAUCAGCUUGUUGGUGGGGUGAUGGCCUACCAAGGCGACGACGGGUAGCCGGCCUGAGAGGGCGACCGGCCACACUGGGACUGAGACACGGCCCAGACUCCUACGGGAGGCAGCAGUGGGGAAUAUUGCACAAUGGGCGAAAGCCUGAUGCAGCGACGCCGCGUGAGGGAUGAAGGCCUUCGGGUUGUAAACCUCUUUCAGCAGGGAAGAAGCGCAAGUGACGGUACCUGCAGAAGAAGCGCCGGCUAACUACGUGCCAGCAGCCGCGGUAAUACGUAGGGCGCAAGCGUUGUCCGGAAUUAUUGGGCGUAAAG